UAUUGCACAAUGGGCGCAAGCCUGAUGCAGCAACGCCGCGUGAGGGAUGACGGCCUUCGGGUUGUAAACCUCUUUUAGUAGGGAAGAAGCGAAAGUGACGGUACCUGCAGAAAAAGCACCGGCUAACUACGUGCCAGCAGCCGCGGUAAUACGUAGGGUGCAAGCGUUGUCCGGAAUUAUUGGGCGUAAAGAGCUCGUAGGCGGCUUGUCGCGUCUGCCGUGAAAACCCAGGGCUCAACUCUGGGCGUGCGGUGGGUACGGGCAGGCUAGAGUGCGGUAGGGGAGAUUGGAAUUCCUGGUGUAGCGGUGGAAUGCGCAGAUAUCAGGAGGAACACCGAUGGCGAAGGCAGAUCUCUGGGCCGUAACUGACGCUGAGGAGCGAAAGCAUGGGGAGCGAACAGG
This 402-nucleotide ribosomal RNA is filed under the name uncultured bacterium. RNAcentral's name for it is "bacterial SSU rRNA". It matches the Rfam family "Bacterial small subunit ribosomal RNA", at positions 362 to 776 of the family's 1533-position model. The record is from RNAcentral.